This 385-nucleotide ribosomal RNA is filed under the name Corucia zebrata. RNAcentral's name for it is "partial 12S rRNA". It matches the Rfam family "Bacterial small subunit ribosomal RNA", at positions 794 to 1384 of the family's 1533-position model. The record is from RNAcentral. Lineage: Eukaryota; Metazoa; Chordata; Lepidosauria; Squamata; Scincidae.
GCUUAGCCGUAAACACAGAUAGUACACACACAAAACUAUUCGCCAGAGAACUACAAGCGAAAAGCUUGAAACUCAAAGGACUUGGCGGUGCUCCACAUCGUCCUAGAGGAGCCUGUCCUAUAAUCGAUACUCCACGUUUCACCCUACCAUCUUUUGCAAUUCAGCCUAUAUACCGCCGUCGUCAGCCUACCUUAUGAAAGAAAUAAAGCAGGCAAAAAAGUUAACAACUAGCACGUCAGGUCAAGGUGUAGCAGAUAAGAUGGAAGAGAUGGGCUACAUUUUCUACCACAGAAAUUACGAAAGGUAUAUUGAAACAUUCACCCGAAGACGGAUUUAGUAGUAAGAUAAAUAAGAAACUCUAUCUUAAGACCGCUCUGGAGCGCGC